AGUGGCGGACGGGUGAGUAACGCGUAAGAAUCUAACUUCAGGACGGGGACAACAGUGGGAAACGACUGCUAAUACCCGAUGUGCCGCGAGGUGAAACCUAAUUGGCCUGAAGAAGAGCUUGCGUCUGAUUAGCUAGUUGGUGGGGUAAGAGCCUACCAAGGCGACGAUCAGUAGCUGGUCUGAGAGGAUGAGCAGCCACACUGGGACUGAGACACGGCCCAGACUCCUACGGGAGGCAGCAGUGGGGAAUUUUCCGCAAUGGGCGAAAGCCUGACGGAGCAACGCCGCGUGAGGGAGGAAGGUCUUAGGAUUGUAAACCUCUUUUCUCAAGGAAGAAGUUCUGACGGUACUUGAGGAAUCAGCCUCGGCUAACUCCGUGCCAGCAGCCGCGGUAAUACGGGGGAGGCAAGCGUUAUCCGGAAUUAUUGGGCGUAAAGCGUCCGCAGGUGGUCAGCCAAGUCUGCCGUCAAAUCAGGUUGCUUAACGACCUAAAGGCGGUGGAAACUGGCAGACUAGAGAGCAGUAGGGGUAGCAGGAAUUCCCAGUGUAGCGGUGAAAUGCGUAGAGAUUGGGAAGAACAUCGGUGGCGAAAGCGUGCUACUGGGCUGUAUCUGACACUCAGGGACGAAAGCUAGGGGAGCGAAAGGGAUUAGAUACCCCUGUAGUCCUAGCCGUAAACGAUGGAUACUAGGCGUGGCUU
This 700-nucleotide ribosomal RNA is filed under the name uncultured bacterium. Its description in RNAcentral is "bacterial SSU rRNA". It matches the Rfam family "Bacterial small subunit ribosomal RNA", at positions 94 to 828 of the family's 1533-position model. The record is from RNAcentral.